UCUGUCCAAUUUAUCAGAGGUGUCACACGGAGAAAGAAAAGCCUUUUAUAAUAUUUAUGCUAUUAUCUCGCUGGCCCAAUUCCCUGCAGUGACGUCAAUUAGAGAGAGAAAUUACCAACCGCAACACAAUUGACGCGUCGCAAUAAAUUUCAUCAGACAAAUGUUGCGCUCUGAGGCGGAUCGCUACGUAAAGUAAAUUGGUGCUUGUCCAAAUCUUGACUGGCUGUCUGAGUUAGGAGAAGAUUCGUCACGGAAUCUCCCGACGGCACGCGCCGAUGAUCAAUCUCUGGUAUGCAUGGAGUCAACGAAAAAGAUUGAGUCUUGUUUGUGUGUUAGACCGAAAUAUAACAUAGCCCACGUUAGCGGAAUCUAGGUUGACCUCGGCCACGAUAUGACACUCGGGAAGACCGCCCAAAGGUAAGUUCGUAAAACUCCCAUGUGAAAUCAAGCGCAAAUUGUCCUCGGUGGAGAAAGUCGACAUGCUCCCUUUUGUGAGCGGAGCCUUCAGUCAACUAAAUUGCUCCUCUAACGGCACGGCAGAGCCCGCUCGAAUGUUAUUCUUCUCUGUUUAUUGAGCGUUCUUCAGAGGAAAGAUGUCGUGUUGAUUCUGCGAGUGUUUUCCUUGCAGACUCUGUUGGCUUUUAUACCUUCAAGGUGCCCUUUUAUGACAAACGCGCAAUUCAUAACUCGGCUCGCGGAUGAUCACUUUUCGUGCAACUUGGGGAAAAAAAAAAAUUCGGCAGGCGCAGAGGCACCACGCCACCUGAACAAGAUGCCCUGCUGGUGUAAAGCGAGGGAGGCGUACUGUGGGGAGCCCCAAGUGUGCGUGUGUGGAUCAAUGUUCAACACGCGUACUUAAGCACCAACCGCUUCAUCGGCGGUUGUAAUGGGGUUAAAUAGCUCCGCUCCGUCCAUGGCGAGGAUCAAGGAAAACCCGAAGCCGGGCUUGAAGAAGAGGCCCAAUCGAUGGUAAUUGGAUUCAGUUAAAUGGGAAUUGACCAAACAGAAGCUUAGAAGGAUAACUAGCAAUUUGCUCCAGUGCGUCCCGGAGUCACAAAGCUUGGAUUGAAAGCGACCACGUUGCGCUGUCCGUUGGUCGGUGGGACCCGGUGCCGGCCUCACCGACCAGGGCCGUUUGAUUAUGUCGCCGGUCACCAAUUUGAGCGAAAGCCUUGGAAGACGAGCCAGUGUAGACAUCAGUUCGGAUGCGACGCCGUGCCCCGAAGCCGACAUGAAGGCUCACUUACAGGAUGUGCAGCAGUGACAAACCUUUAAAGAGCCUCCGAAGCGUCUCCCUAAUGUUCCCAGUGAAAGCGCUGACCUUCUUAACUAUGCAAUGGUGUUCUCGCAGGUGACAGGAUUGGGAAAAGGAGGCCGUUGCCCCCCCAUGGGGGAUUGCUGGCAUAUGCCAUUUAGUCACGACAUCAAAGUCCUGCAGCAGCUCCUCAGGAGCACCCCGGGUUUUGGUCUCCUUGCCUGCUGCCGGCGAAGUGCGUCCCACUGCAGAGUUCCCCCAGCGCAAAUUGUGUGUUUGCAUUAGAAGCGGAACAAAUCAGCAUCAUUGCCUCAUUUGCCAAAACAGACUUUCAACAAUGAGACAAAUUACUUUGGCGGAGCUGUUAACGUGUCACUAACCAAUGAGGCUUUUCAUGAUUUAUUCCGAUUUUCUGCAGCGUUCGCAGUCCGUAUCAUCCAUUUACAGCGACGUCUUAAUUAUCAUUUGGAAAGAAGAAGGAGAAGAAGAAGAAGAAGAAGAGUUGGGGGGGCUGCCGUCUCUGUUAUGGUUAUGAUGUCUGUUUAACAUUACCUCAGACCUGGUCAAUUGCAGAAGGGCUGAAUGGGGGGCCCCAGGCUUCGAAGCUCCUAAUUGGAAACGCAUGUGCGCCACGCUGUUGAAAGUUUUAUUUAAAAGCCAGAAAGAUCUCACACUGCAUCAUUUUAACCCCCCCAAAAAAAGAA
Hippocampus zosterae (dwarf seahorse) is the source of this 1959-nucleotide long non-coding RNA. RefSeq lists it as uncharacterized. The record is from RefSeq and is a predicted model, not a curated record. Lineage: Eukaryota; Metazoa; Chordata; Actinopteri; Syngnathiformes; Syngnathidae. The transcript is spliced from 2 exons.